Molecule: non-coding RNA, 93 nt
Organism: Paramuricea clavata
Lineage: Eukaryota; Metazoa; Cnidaria; Anthozoa; Malacalcyonacea; Plexauridae
Source: the annotation of a GenBank genome assembly
AUUUUCGACGUUUCUAAGGCGUGGCUUCAACGUUUGUUUUUAAAAUUUUAAAAAUAAACGUUGAAGCCACGCCUUAGAAACGUCGAAAAUCUG